This 240-nucleotide ribosomal RNA is filed under the name uncultured Lactobacillus sp. RNAcentral describes it as "partial 16S ribosomal RNA". It matches the Rfam family "Bacterial small subunit ribosomal RNA", at positions 123 to 355 of the family's 1533-position model. Lineage: Bacteria; Bacillati; Bacillota; Bacilli; Lactobacillales; Lactobacillaceae. The record is from RNAcentral.
AACCUGCCCCAUAGUCUGGGAUACCACUUGGAAACAGGUGCUAAUACCGGAUAAGAAAGCGGAUCGCAUGAUCAGCUUUUAAAAGGCGGCGUAAGCUGUCGCUAUGGGAUGGCCCCGCGGUGCAUUAGCUAGUUGGUAAGGUAAAGGCUUACCAAGGCGAUGAUGCAUAGCCGAGUUGAGAGACUGAUCGGCCACAUUGGGACUGAGACACGGCCCAAACUCCUACGGGAGGCAGCAGCC